RNAcentral lists this transfer RNA (74 nucleotides) under Bacteroidota bacterium. RNAcentral's name for it is "Bacteroidetes bacterium (activated sludge metagenome) tRNA-Ile". It matches the Rfam family "tRNA". From Rfam's summary of the family: Transfer RNA (tRNA) molecules are approximately 80 nucleotides in length. Their secondary structure includes four short double-helical elements and three loops (D, anti-codon, and T loops). Lineage: Bacteria; Pseudomonadati; Bacteroidota. The record is from RNAcentral. RNAcentral also lists the same sequence under 1 other name.
AGUCUCGUAGCUCAGGUGGUUAGAGCGUUACACUGAUAAUGUAAAGGUCCCCAGUUCGAGUCUGGGCGGGACUA